AUUGAACGCUGGCGGCAGGCCUAACACAUGCAAGUCGAACGGUAGCACAGAGAGCUUGCUCUUGGGUGACGAGUGGCGGACGGGUGAGUAAUGUCUGGGAAACUGCCUGAUGGAGGGGGAUAACUACUGGAAACGGUAGCUAAUACCGCAUAACGUCGCAAGACCAAAGAGGGGGACCUUCGGGCCUCUUGCCAUCAGAUGUGCCCAGAUGGGAUUAGCUAGUAGGUGGGGUAAUGGCUCACCUAGGCGACGAUCCCUAGCUGGUCUGAGAGGAUGACCAGCCACACUGGAACUGAGACACGGUCCAGACUCCUACGGGAGGCAGCAGUGGGGAAUAUUACACAAUGGGCGCAAGCCUGAUGCAGCCAUGCCGCGUGUAUGAAGAAGGCCUUCGGGUUGUAAAGUACUUUCAGCGGGGGGGAAGGUGAUACGGUUAAUAACCGUGUCAAUUGACGUUACCCGCAGAAGAAGCACCGGCUAACCCCGUGCCAGCCGCCGCAGUAA
Molecule: ribosomal RNA, 504 nt
Filed under: uncultured bacterium
Lineage: Bacteria
Description: partial 16S ribosomal RNA
Rfam family: Bacterial small subunit ribosomal RNA
Source: RNAcentral